AUCCGCGGAGAUGUCAACAGACCUGCAAGUCCAAUGAAACCUAACAGCCCGACCUGAAAUGAUCAGAAGGACCCAGAAACAUUUUUCUUUUAAUUUUCCAUUUUCAUAAUAAUUUCUUAAGUCUCUGAUUCUAUUCUAUUCGAUUGCUCCAUCCAUGGCUUCCAAUGGAACAUCUCCGAGAGCGGAAACUGAGAACAGCUUGGAGAAAGUCAAGAGGCAGCUUACGUCGGGUUCAACGAGGAAUCUGUUGCAGGGGCCGCUCCUUAAGAGAUCUGAAACGGGAGAGAGAUUGAAGAGGAUGCUAUUUUUGUUGGCAAAGAGGUGCUUUAGGAGUGA
Molecule: long non-coding RNA, 336 nt
Organism: Macadamia integrifolia
Lineage: Eukaryota; Viridiplantae; Streptophyta; Magnoliopsida; Proteales; Proteaceae
Exons: 3
Source: RefSeq, a predicted model, not a curated record